Unclassified non-coding RNA from Otolemur garnettii (small-eared galago), 319 nucleotides. Its record names the gene 7SK. It matches the Rfam family "7SK RNA". Rfam says of the family: 7SK was discovered as an abundant small nuclear RNA in the mid-70s but a possible function has only recently been suggested. Two independent studies have found that 7SK RNA binds the CDK9/cyclin T complex (known as elongation factor P-TEFb). Lineage: Eukaryota; Metazoa; Chordata; Mammalia; Primates; Galagidae. The record is from Ensembl.
GGAUAUGAAGAUGAUUGGGCUAUGACAUCUGUCACCCCAUUGAUUGCCAGGGUUGAUUCAGCUCAUCUAGCUGGCUAAGUUGACAUCCCUUUCUUCCUUUACCAUUCCAUGUGUAUCCAUACCAAAGUUGCAUGCUCAGUUGAAGAGGAUGAUGUUCUCUGAUAGAGGAAGACCACUCUGUCAAGAGUAUACAAGUAGCUGUUCUCCCCUGCUAGAACCAAGAAACAAACUCUCAAGAAUCAAUACCAUACUAUAUACUAAUAAUGGUCAAGAUAAGAACCAAGUCAAGAAGGCAAUCCCAUUUACAAUAAUGUUGAAU